UUCUUAGUGUAAGUAUAUCCUAUGCAAUACUUGGGACAUACUUAUGCUACAA
Molecule: non-coding RNA, 52 nt
Organism: Callithrix jacchus (white-tufted-ear marmoset)
Lineage: Eukaryota; Metazoa; Chordata; Mammalia; Primates; Cebidae
Source: Rfam